AAAAGAACCUAAGAAGAAAUGGCAGGUGUAAGGAGGGAAAUGAUCAACGGUGGGAAAAUUUCACGGAGGAUUGCCGGACGUCCGAUCCCAAGGAGGGGUCAAGUAAAAGUUGCUAUAUUGCUGGGGAUUGCCCAUUCUGUUGCUUCUAUUUUUUUCUCUAAGUAGUCGCAAGUUUGUUAAAUUUCUCCCCAAAAAAGUUUAAAAGAAGUGGGAGGGUCCUAGGAAUGAUGUGAGCCUGCUUUUUUGUUGUUCAUAUCAGUUUUGUACAAAGCUUAUAUUAAUAGCUUCCAGAAGUCAAUGAAUGAAAUUUCGUUCUGGCUUUUCCUUAUUAA
Molecule: long non-coding RNA, 332 nt
Organism: Hibiscus syriacus
Lineage: Eukaryota; Viridiplantae; Streptophyta; Magnoliopsida; Malvales; Malvaceae
Exons: 2
Source: RefSeq, a predicted model, not a curated record